RNAcentral lists this ribosomal RNA (484 nucleotides) under uncultured bacterium. Its description in RNAcentral is "partial 16S ribosomal RNA". It matches the Rfam family "Bacterial small subunit ribosomal RNA", at positions 30 to 507 of the family's 1533-position model. The record is from RNAcentral.
AUUGAACGCUGGCGGCAGGCCUAACACAUGCAAGUCGAGCGGAUGAAGGGAGCUUGCUCCUGGAUUCAGCGGCGGACGGGUGAGUAAUGCCUAGGAAUCUGCCUGGUAGUGGGGGAUAACGUCCGGAAACGGGCGCUAAUACCGCAUACGUCCUGAGGGAGAAAGUGGGGGAUCUUCGGACCUCACGCUAUCAGAUGAGCCUAGGUCGGAUUAGCUAGUUGGUGGGGUAAAGGCCUACCAAGGCGACGAUCCGUAACUGGUCUGAGAGGAUGAUCAGUAACACUGGAACUGAGACACGGUCCAGACUCCUACGGGAGGAAGCAGUGGGGAAUAUUGGACAAUGGGCGAAAGCCUGAUCCAGCCAUGCCGCGUGUGUGAAGAAGGUCUUCGGAUUGUAAAGCACUUUAAGUUGGGAGGAAGGGCAGUAAGUUAAUACCUUGCUGUUUUGACGUUACCAACAGAAUAAGCACCGGCUAACUUCGUG